AUUGAACGCUGGCGGCAGGCCUAACACAUGCAAGUCGAGCGGAUGAAGGGAGCUUGCUCCUGGAUUCAGCGGCGGACGGGUGAGUAAUGCCUAGGAAUCUGCCUGGUAGUGGGGGAUAACGUCCGGACACGGGCGCUAAUACCGCAUACGUCCUGAGGGAGAAAGUGGGGGAUCUUCGGACCUCACGCUAUCAGAUGAGCCUAGGUCGGAUUAGCUAGUUGGUGGGGUAAAAGCCUACCAAGGCGACGAUCCGUAACUGGUCUGAGAGGAUGAUCAGUCACACUGGAACUGAGACACGGUCCAGACUCCUACGGGAGGCAGCAGUGGGGAAUAUUGGACAAUGGGCGAAAGCCUGAUCCAGCCAUGCCGCGUGUGUGAAGAAGGUCUUCGGAUUGUAAAGCACUUUAAGUUGGGAGGAAGGGCAGUAAGUUAAUACCUUGCUGUUUUGACGUUACCAACAGAAUAAGCACCGGCUAACUUCGUG
RNAcentral lists this ribosomal RNA (484 nucleotides) under uncultured bacterium. RNAcentral describes it as "partial 16S ribosomal RNA". It matches the Rfam family "Bacterial small subunit ribosomal RNA", at positions 30 to 507 of the family's 1533-position model. The record is from RNAcentral.